Salvia hispanica is the source of this 639-nucleotide long non-coding RNA. RefSeq lists it as uncharacterized. The record is from RefSeq and is a predicted model, not a curated record. NCBI's taxonomy places the organism in Eukaryota, Viridiplantae, Streptophyta, Magnoliopsida, Lamiales, Lamiaceae.
GUUGGGCUCAAUUUAUUUCUCUACUCCUCCCCCUCUCUACCUGCUGCGCUGCCGCCACCUUCCGGCGCCGGCGCCGGCGCCUCCGGCGGAUCUCUUUCUCCCCCCUCCGUCUCUCCUUAUCAUCUCUUUUUCUCUCCUAUCUCUUUCCUUCCCCUUCCUCUAUCAUCUCCCUCGAUCUCGCCGGAGCUCCGCCACCAGCCCGCCACCGCCCUAUCUCUCUUUUGGAUCCGCCGCCGCCACUGUGCAUGCCUCCGGACAGCAGGCAAGCUCUCUGCCACUGCACUCUCUCUCUCGGCGCUGCCACCUCGCCCCGUCGCCACCACUGCCGCCGUUUCGCCGACUCCCCAAAGGUUGUGAAAUUAGUGACGAAUUGGGGUGUGGGGCUGCCACCGUCGGCAACGGUGUGCCAAAACUCAGUCGCCGGAGUUCCGGCAGAUUCCUAUUCGGGAGAUAAGUUUCUUGACUUGUGUUUAUUAUGGUUAUAGGACUUGGAUUGACUAUUAUAUGGAUUUGGUAACUCUUGAUUCUUGAAUAAUGUGUUGCUACUUGGAAGACUUAUGAUGUAACAUGUUAAUCUCACUGUGUUGGUAACAUUGGGCAGAUUCUUAUUUGCAACUAAUAUAUGCAUGCUUCGUAGUU